AAGGACACACUUAUUAAAAAUUCAAAGUUAUGAUAAGUAAAAAAUAUAGGAGAUGUGUAACAAGAUUGUAGAUUUGAACAUUUUAAUUUUAAUUAAUUUUUAUAAGUAUUGAUUUCAGAUACAUGUAUGACAUUCCAUGCUUGAUCGGGGAGGGGGGCUACAGUUAGAUAAUAUUCUGGUCAGCACAUUCGAUAAACUACAGUUGUACAUGGAACUCAUUAAAUCACUUCUUUUUCUUUCAGUGGUCUUCAACUUUUAAUCUCCAAGAAGGAAAUGUAAUUAAAAGAUGAAUAAAGUAUCCCUAAGAAUACCAGAAGAAAGGCUGUGUUGAGAAAAACAGCCCUUCCUCAGUACCACAGAACUAGAUGAUAGCCCUUGUUACUUUAUGCUUAAUAUGACACAGUAUAGAAGAUCUGAUCAUGAAGACGUUACACCAUUGAUACACUUGCCAACUGCCAAAACUACUUUCUGAUAGCAUGACGAGAUUAGAAGAUAUGAUGGUGUAGUCAUGACACAAACUGCAAAUCAAAGAUUGUCUUCCCCAGAGGAUGAACAGAGUGCUUCACAUGGAUAACAUUUCCUUUUCGAGUUUUGAAAUUAUCAAACAUAAUUUUGCAUCAAAGAGAAAAAGUGGCUUUGACAUAACCUAGAAAAUACAAUAUUCAUUAAAAAGAGCAUGGCACCAGGAUAGCUACAUGCCCAUAUUCCCAGCAAAAUGAGCCAGUCCUAAAGAGAGUCCACUAGAGAUGAAAUAAAACGCAUUAAAAUGUGUUGAGAAAAGAUUUGUCAGAAUGUUAUGCAUCAUGAUCAACAGAAAAGAACUUCACAGGUAGACCAAAGCUGACAUGGGAUGAGAUCCUAAAACGAGACCUAGAGUUUAGAGGAUUGGAUAGGAUCAAUCCACUGGGUCGCCAAGUGUGGAAGUACAAACUUCAACCUCGACAGGACAGCCAGGCCUCACCCUUGCAAAAAUAUUAAUUUGGCCUGGAUAGUCAAAAUGAGUGAUGAUGAUAUCAAGGUCUGACACUGUAAGCUCAGUAAGGGUAGAUGCUGGCAAUGGAGCUGUUAAGCAAUACAACAAACAGGUUUAACAUUGAACAUGUUUAUAUACUUUUUUAGUUCACCUGAGCCAAAGGCUCAAAUGAGCUUUUCUGAUCACCUUUGCCUGUCGUCUAUCUCUCUAUAAACUUUUCACAUUUUCAUUUUCUUCUCCAGAGUGAACCACUGGGCCAGUUUCAAUCAAACUUGGUAUGCAUCAUUAAUAGAUAAAGGGUAUGCAAAAAUAGGGUGGGGUCAUUUAAAAAACCUUUUCAAGAACCACUGAACCAGGAAAGUUGAAUUCACAUAAAAGGUUCCUGUUUUGUGCAAAUCAUGGUAUCCGGGGGUAGGGUGAGGUCACAAUCGAGGAUCAAAGUUUUACAUUCAUAUAUAGUACAGAUUCAAGUUUGUUAAAGGUCAUGGCUCACAGGGGUAGAGUGGGGUCACAAUAGGGGAUCUAAGUUUUAUAUGUGAAAUAUAUACAAGGAAAAUCUUUUAAAAUCUUCUCCUAAAAAACUAGAUGCAGAACUAAACCCAAAAUCGUAGCUCUUUGAGAAGAUAUUGGGGCAAGUCAGAGCGCUAGAGCUUCAGAUGAGCCCCUUAUUAAAAAUCUUCAAUUUACGGCACAGAAAAAAAGUGCAUGGUUAAGUCCCUCUAUCACUGCAUUCCUGCAUUGCUGUCUCGUGAAUUUAAUAUUAAAUAAUUCCUAACAUAUUUUCCCACUAUACUUGUUUCCAAGCAUACUUUCAAAUAUUCCUUAAACCCACAUAUAACCUAAAAACUCACAGCUUCAAGUGAUUUUCUUUGUUGAUGUAGCCAUGUUAGGUAUACGUAGCCAGUCAAUUUGAACCCCAGUUCAUUUCCAUACUCGUACUCAUUUUGAAACAUAAUGUCUGUGUGAACUAAUAUCCCCACAAAUAUUUUUAGUGAAAUAUUUUGGAUGAAAUCAUCCCAGUUGGGUUAAAUACUUAUUAUUCAAAAACUGUAGGUUUGAAUAUUGAACUAAUCUCACAGCUUUCUUAAGUUUGGUCCCCAUCCACUCCAGUCUGUUUUUACGCUUAACUAUUGAAAUGGAGUGUAAGGGAUCAGACUAGGCUUUAAUAGCAUUAUCAAUUUUCAAAAGCUUUAGAAAAAUUAUACAAUUUUAGGUCACUUGAGUAAACUCAGAUGACAUAUUGCUAUUGGUCUGCGUCCGUUGUAGUCCGUCGAUGUUAACAAUUGAAUAUUUUUAACUAAAUUCUAUAACUGAAAAGUGAAGAUAACGAACAGCGAUCAAUCUACGAUUCGAAUAACAGAAUUCUUUUCAAAUUUAGUAUGAAGCACACACAUUUACAUUAAACCUUCCUGACAUAGUGCAUAUUCAAGUUUGUUAAAAUCAUUUCCCGGGAGGUAUGGUGUGGUAACAAUAGGGGAUCAAAGUUUUAUAUGCUGAUAUAUUUAAAGGAAAAAUCUUUAAAGAUAUCUCUUGAACUAUUUAAGCUAGAGCUUUCAUAUCUUGUAUAUACAAUUUUUAUGGCAAAACAAAUCUGACCUAUUCAGUGUGUCCUGAACUACAUUGUGUUAAAGGUAAAACUUAUACGGUACCAAUUUUGAUGCACCAGAUGCGCAUUUCGACAAAUAAUGUCUCUUCAGUGGUUGGCGUGGGUUCGAAUCCUGCUUGCACCGGUAAGUGAGAAAGUUUCCCAGUUUACUCUCGGAAGGUCAGUGGUCUCUUCCCAGGUACAUUGUAUCUGGGUUCUCUCUUCCACCAAUAAAAACUGGGCACCACCAGAUAACUGAAAAAUUGUUGAGUGUGGCAGAAAACAGCUAAAACAAUCAAUCAUAUUAUGUUAUUUGACCUUGUGACCCUGAACUCUGAGUUUGACCUACUUUUAAGAAAGUAUAACUUAUUAAGUAUAUCCAGGACUAUUUUAGAUAGGGCUUUCAUGUAUUGUAUAUAUAUUACUUAUGGCAAAGUCUUUCAUAUCAUACCAAGACCUAUGACUUCAUACCUUGGUCUUAUCCAGAACAGCAAUAUCAUGCUUGUCAUAUCUUUGUGUUAUAUGAUUUCAUUUUAGUAAUGUUGUGUUCUUUAGAGGCAGGUUUGGGUCACAUUAUUCAUGAGAAUAAAGAUUGAUAAAAUAGCAUUUAAAAAUCAAAACAGCAGGGCCAAGGUGACUCAGGUGAGCGAUGUGGCCCAUGGGCCUUUUGUUGAGUUUGAUAUUUGUACAGAUAUCAUUUGUAUGAGAAAUGGAACUCUUUUUUUUUCUUUUACAAAUACAUGUAUUAUCAUAUGGAUCCAUCUGUGUUGAUUAUUUAAUCAAAGGACUACAUUCAAUGUAUUAAAUGCAAAUUUAUUGAUAUGUCUGUGGUUGAAUUACUCAUGUAUGUAUACAUUUUUUUGGCACAUGCAAUUACAUAUAUAAUGUAUAUAUAUAUACUAAUUGUACAUAUAACAUCUCCUGUAAUAUAAUAAAAUUUAUGACUGAGAAUAAAAGACCUGCUGUUUUCAUUGCUACCAUGGAACAUUAAAAGAUUAGAAUAAUUCAAAUAUCUUAAUGAAUUCUGUAAUAUAUGAAUUUGAUAUUUGUAUACAAUUGCCUCACUGGUGUUCAAUGUGAACUUUGGUUUAUCAUUUCAGUUUGCUCUUUAUAUCAAAUCAAAAUUUAAGACAAAUAAGGAAUUAUUUCCGAAAUUAGUUAAUAUGGUACAUUGUAGUAAAAUAAUCAAAAGUUUAUUCAUAUGAGAUAGCUAAAUUCCACAUGGAUAACCAGUGACUGAUUCUGAAUUGUCAACAUUUUCACCAAACAGUUUAGAAAUUACCCCGGUACAUACUAUUGGGGGAUUAUAAAAUUCCUUGAAAAGUGACAUAUUUUUAAAUAUCACCUUUUCAAGGAGAAAAAUCCCUUUAAGUAUAUGAAUCCUAUGAAGAAAUUAAAAGAGAGGUGGCUAUAGGUAUAUGCGACCCACCUGAUCUUUAUUUUUCUGCAACAUAUUCAAGUGUGUUUUUAUCACUUGUAUGGUGAGAUUCAUUUGUGGCAAGAGCUGUUAUGAUGUCUCGAGUCAGAAAACACCAGAAUCCACUAGGAAUAGUUUUAGAUCUAUGGAGCGCCAAAUUAACAAACUCAAAUAUUUGAAGAUAUCUUUAAUUAUUUGAAGAUAUUAUCAAUUCAUUUCAUGCACGCAACAUUGCAAUCAAAGAUCUCUUCAAAUAAUUAAUAUCUUCAAUUCUGCAUUAUUAUAUAUUGCGAGCAUGAAUUGAAUUAUUGAUAUCAUUAUUUAUUCUGCUGAAUUGAUGCACGCAAUAAUUUAAUUGUUGCUCUCCUCAAAUAAAUUAUAAUUUAAUGAUACCAACAAUAGAAUUAAUGCAUGCUACAAUUCAAUUGAAGAGAGCAAUAAUUCAUUAAUGCUAACAUCACUUAAUGUGCACAAUAAUUGAAUUAUUGCUCUCUUCUAUUGAAUUAAUGAUAUCAUUAAUUAAAUUGAUGCGUGGAAUAAUUAUUUUAGAGAGAUUAUCUAAUUGAGAUAUAAUCUUCAAUUCAAGAUAUCCACAAUUGAAUGAUUUCUUUAAUUGAAUUGUUGCUCUUUAAAAAAAAAAUGAUGCGCGCAUUAAUUGCUUAUGAAAUAGCCUUCUAUAUAUAAUUAAAAAGAUCCUCCAUUGAAUUAAAAGAUAUAAUCAAGUCAUUCAUACAGAGCUCUAAAUUAAUUUUUGCGAGCAAUAUUUCCACCACAUGGAUGUGCGCAUCAAUUGAAUUAAUGAGAGCGAUAAUUGAUUUGAUGCGCGUAUAUUAUUGGACUUCAAUUUGAGCUUAUGUAAAACAUUAAUAAGAUUUUAAAAAUCAACCUGGUGAAUUGGUAUUAUAAAGGUCAUGAGAGGACACGUCCAGUUUUUGAACAAAAACAGAAGGUAAUAUAUUCCCUUGAAUUUGCAAUUGGUCAUCUCUGUCCUCAGAUCGGCAGGGAAAGGAGUGGGGGUCCAAAUCACUUUUAUGAUGGAGAUUAUUUCUCAUUCGAAGGCGCGAAUUGCCGAUGUUCAGGGAAUGUUUUAAAUAUCUACUUGCCUUUCGAGACUGGACUAAGUUCAUCAAUAAAACUUACAAAUAUGUAACUUGAAUUUUACCUUUCGUUAUAAUAGUUCAAUUUAUGCGCAAUGUACCAGGUUCAAUUGUCGGUGUGUUUCAGCCGUGGUUAAUUAGGGGGGGGGGGGGUCCAACACGUAACACGUUUAGGGAAGGGCGUAAUGAGUGCCAAAUGCACGAAAUCUCUAAACAAAAAUAUCUAAGAUGAAGCAAAAUCGUGAUUUUUGGGGGUUCUCUAUUACAAUUUUGUCCUCAUAUUUCAAGGUGAGAUGAUAGUCAAAAUUGACAUAAUGUGCAUGUACAUAUCAUAAACAUGUAGAUAUUUUUGUAACAGUAUAUAAAGGAACCGGGAACAAAUCCUGAUUCUGAAGUUAUGUUAUAUAAACUGGUGUUAUAAACCGGAUUUUCAAAGAAUUUAUGGUUUUUGCAACGUUUGAUUAAAGUUUUCUGUAAUGUCACAUCUAUGUAGUUACAUAUAUAAACAGAAUGUUCAUGAAAAUGUUCCCUUUUAGAGUGGAAUUAAGAUAUUGCGUAACAUUUCUUUACAAAGAUAUCUAAUUUUUAUUCAUGUCAAAAGUCAACAAAAAACUUAAAGUGAUACAAAGAAUGUAUAUAAUUAUGAAUACUUGUUUUAGAUCCUUUAGGCACUGUAUUACAGAAUUUUGAUUUUAUUUAUCAUACUUUUUGGUCGAAUUACUACAGAGUCUGGCCCGUACAGCAUGCAUUGGCAAACGAGG
Molecule: long non-coding RNA, 5833 nt
Organism: Ostrea edulis (European flat oyster)
Lineage: Eukaryota; Metazoa; Mollusca; Bivalvia; Ostreida; Ostreidae
Exons: 3
Source: RefSeq, a predicted model, not a curated record